UCACGGCCCGCAUGUUCAAGGCCCAACCCGUUGGAUUGAUCAUGCUAGACCUCUUGGCCCACAUGUCCAGAUUCGUUGUACAGUAGUAGGUAGACUACGGUUGGUGGCUGUAGUUGGUAGAUGCCAGUAGGUGACAUUGUAUCUUGGCCACCUACCAUGAUGGUAGGUGGGAUAGGGAAUGUAUAUAAGGAGGAUGUCACAUUGUGAAUCCUCACCUCACAACUUGUAAAGCAUUGAGUAGCAAUACAAGCAUAUAUUCUCCCAAACGUUCUUAAGCGUUCUUAUUGUGUUCUUGCUCUUGCGAUUGUUCUUUGCUUGUUUCGAUCUUGUAUUGUAGGAAGGAGGCUGACUUAGCUUGUUCGAGAGGCGAUCAAGUCUAAGGCCGCACGGAAGGAAGACUCCGAAAAAGUCAUCCCGUGACAGUUGGUAUCAGAGCAAAAGCUCAAAUCAUUCAAAGAAGCAUGUCGAAGAGCGGAUCAGAUGUGGAGACAGACCUGUCCAAGGUCAACAUGGAUCGUGGGGGCAAAUCAAAGAGGGAACGAUCUAGAGAUGUGGUGGCCAUGAUGGAGAAGCGGCUUUCUAAGAUGGAGAUUGCCGUGGUCGAGUUCGAUCAACGACUAGAGGAGGAUGUCCUUACGAAGGGGGGCUUCGAAGCUGUAGUGGAUGAGUUUCAAGGCCAAUUCCAGGGAGUCCUCAACUCCGCGCUAGAUGGCAUCAAACUAGAUGUUCAAGCCAAGCUGGAUCACUUCUUAGCGGAGCUUACUUCGCUUCGUGAUGAGAUGAAGGAUGUGAAGGGAGAUUGGGCUUUGUGCAAGGAAGCUGUCUUGAACAAGACCCGAACUCCGAAGGAACCGAAGGUGCUAGAUUCUUUCAAGCCCAAAUCCUAUAAUGGGAAGAGGGAGGCGAAGGAGCUGGACACUUUCUUGUGGAAUAUCGAAAGGUAUUUCAAGUAUCUGAAGCUCGAGGAUGAUGAGCCCAAGAUCAAUGCGGCAACGUUGUUUCUCACCGACAAUGCUCUCAUGUGGUGGCGUCGUCGAUCUAUGGAGAUCGAACAAGGUACGUUUACACUUGAGACUUGGGACGAUUUUAAGAAGGAUAUUAUGUCGCAUUUCUAUCCAGAGAAUGCCAAGUAUGAGGCAAAGGAGAAGCUAAGAUGGCUGAAGCAAACUGGGAGCGUGAAGGACUAUGUAGCCACGUUCACCAACCUGUUGUUCAAGGUGCCUAGCAUGACAGAUAAAGACAAGCUCAUGUACUUCAUGAGUGGCCUACAGAAUUGGGCAAAGCUGGAGUUACAAAGGAGACACGUCCAAACCUUGUCAGAGGCGAUUGCUGCAGCUGAGUCUCUUGUUGAGUUCAAGAGAAGUAGUCAAGGCGACUCCAAGUUCAAAGGAAAGAAAGGCAACAGUGGAUCCGGUGGGGGAGACAACAAGCCAAAAGAGGGUAGCAAGUCAGGAGACAAGUCUGACAGUCACAAGUCAUCCUGGAAGAAGAAUGACAAAGGUGACAAAGGGAAAGACAAGUCGAAGCUAGCUUGCUACUUGUGCGAGGGAGCGCACAUGAUGCGGGAUUGUCCGAAGAAGAAAGCUCUGAAUGCUAUGAACUAAGAGAAGGGGGAGGAGGCCGAGAGGGAAGCAGGAAUGGGGGCCAUUCGCCGCUUCAAUGCCUUGCAGGCCAAAGGAGCUCAACCACAGGUUUAAGCGAAAGGAGUGAUGUUCGUCGAUGCCAUGGUGAAUGGCAAGACAACCCGUUGCCUAGUGGAUACCGGUGCUUCGCACAACUUUAUGUCCGUGCAGGAAGCAAAGAGACUUGGGUGUCGAGUCUCGAAGGAAGCAGGCAGUAUGAAGACGGUGAAUUCAACUGCCAAGCCCAUUGAUGGAGUAGCUCGUGGUGUGGAGCUACACAUUGCCACUUGGAAGGGAGUAGCUGACUUCUCCGUGAUCUCGAUGGAUGACUACGAUGUCGUGCUAGGAAUGGAGUUCAUGGACAAGGUAAAGGCAUUUCCCAUUCCAUUUUACAAUACUAUGUGCAUUGCACAGGGUGGAGCAAUGCCAUGCAUGGUGCCGGUAGUGAGGCAACAAAGCGAGACGAAGCUUUUGUCAGCCAUGCAAUUUUCCAAGUCUUGGAAGAAGGGCGAACCGACGUUCCUUGCAACUAUGAAGAUGGAAAUAGUUGAGAAGGAAGUCCAACCAGUCCCGAAAGCUGUGGAGGCAAUCCUUAAGGAGUUUGCAGAUGUCAUGCCCAAGGAGUUGCCCAAAACCUUACCACCUAGGAGAGAGGUGGAUCAUGCCAUUGAGUUGGAAUCGGGUGCCAAACCCCCUGCCAAAGCGCCGUACCAGAUGGCACCUCCUAAGUUGGAGGAAUUGAGGAAGCAGUUGAAGCAGUUGUUGGACGCGGGUUACAUCCAACCGUCCAAGGCCCCCUAUAGUGCCCCAGUUCUUUUCCAGAAGAAGAGGGAGGGAACACUGAGGUUGUGUAUCGACUACAGGGCGCUAAACAAGGUGACCAUCAAAAACAAGUAUCCAAUCCCUUUGAUUGCAGAUUUGUUUGAUCAGUUGGGAGGAGCGAAGUACUUCACCAAGUUGGACUUGCGCUCUGGAUACUAUCAAGUGAGGAUCGCACCGGGAGAUGAAUCGAAGACCGCAUGUGUGAUAAGAUAUGGGUCUUACGAGUUCCUGGUCAUGCCGUUCGGCUUGACUAAUGCCCCUGCAACAUUUUGCACUCUUAUGAACAAGGUAUUCCAUCCUUUCUUGGACAAGUUUGUUGUGGUUUACAUCGAUGAUAUUGUGGUGUACAGCAAUUCUCUGGAGGAACACCUUAAGCAUUUACAGAAGGUCUUCCAAGUUCUAAGGGAGAACCAGCUCUAUGUGAAGAGGGAGAAGUGCUCAUUUGUCCAAGAAGAGGUUGAGUUCCUUGGUCACAAGAUACGGGGAGGACAAUUGCUCAUGGAGGAGGGCAAGGUGCGAGCCAUUCAAGAGUGGGAACCGCCAAUCAAGGUACCUGAGUUGCGGUCUUUCCUUGGAUUGGUGAACUACUAUCGCAGGUUCAUCAAGGGAUAUUCAGCCAUAGCCGCCCCCUUGACGGACUUGCUAAAGAAGAAUAAGACGUGGGAGUGGACACCCCGAUGUCAGCAUGCCUUCGAUGAGUUGAAGAGGGCUCUUAUGGAGGAACCAGUGCUGAGACUUCCGGAUCUUAGCAAACCUUUUGAGGUACACACUGAUGCAUCAGAUUUUGCUAUUGGUGGUGUACUCAUGCAGGAUGGACACCCAUUGGCUUUCGAGAGUCGGAAGCUCAAUGACACGGAGCGGAGGUAUACCGUUCAAGAGAAGGAGAUGACAGCCGUAGUGCACUGCUUGCGGACUUGGAGGCACUACUUACUUGGUUCUCAGUUCGUGGUCAAGACUGACAAUAUUGCCACAAGCUACUUUCAGUCCCAACAGAAGUUGUCACCCAAGCAGGCUAGGUGGCAAGACUUCUUGGCGGAGUUUGACUACAAACUGGAGUAUAAGCAAGGGAAGACGAAUGUCGUUGCCGAUGCCUUAAGCAGGAAGACCAUACUAGCAGCUGUCACUCAACCCCAGAGUUCUCUCAUGCAGAGGAUACGAGAGGGCUUGUUGCAUGAUCCCCAAGCCAAAAGUCUAUUGGAGCUUGUCAAAGAUGGGAAGACAAGAAGAUUUUGGCCCGAUGAUGGGGUUCUCUAUGCAACAGGGAAGAGGAUCUAUGUUCCAAGGUGGGACAAUCUGAGGCGAGAGCUACUGAAGGAGUGUCAUGACUCGAAGUGGGCAGGACAUCCGGGCACUCAUCGGACAUUAGCCUUGAUGAGUGAAGCUUACUAUUGGCCACAGAUGCGGGAAGAUGUAGACUCGUUCGUGCGGACUUGUCUUGUAUGUCAACAAGACAAGACAUUGCAGAAGCAGCCGGGUGGGUUGCUAGAGCCACUUCUUGUUCCAACCAGACCAUGGGAGAGUUUGUCCAUGGACUUCAUUGUGAGUCUACCCAAGUCGGAAGGGUGUGGCUCAAUUUUGGUGGUGGUCGACAGGUUCACCAAGUAUGCUACCUUCAUCCCCGCACCGACAGAUUGCAAUGCGGAGGAAGCUGCACGCUUGUUUCUGAAGCAUGUGGUGAAGUUUUGGGGGAUCCCCAAGAGUAUUAUCAGUGAUCGUGACACUCGCUUCACUGGUAAACUUUGGACGGAGCUCUUCAGGCUACUUGGCUCACAGUUGAACUUCUCUACCAGCUUUCACCCGCAGACAGAUGGUCAGACGGAGAGGGUGAAUGCACUAUUGGAGCUAUACUUGAGGCACUAUGUGAGUGCCAACCAGCGAGAUUGGGCAAAGUUGUUGGAUAUUGCUCAGUUCUCAUACAACUUGCAGCGGUCGGAGUCGACAGGGUCAAGUCCUUUUGAGUUGGCAACAGGACAACAACCUAUAACACCGAACACAGUGGUGUCAGGCUACACGGGGAGUAGCCCUGCUGCAUACAAGACAGCCAAGGAGUGGCAGGUGACUAAUGAGCUGGCUCGGGUUCAAUUGGAGAAGGCAACUCGGAAGAUGAAGAAAUGGGCGGACAAGCAUCGGCGGGACGUUGUGUUCCAACCAGGUGAUCUGGUCUUUGUGAAGCUCAACCCUUCUCAACACAAGUCCACUAGAAGAUUGCACAAGGCUUUGUUGAGAAGAUAUGAGGGUCCAUUUCCUAUCAUCCGAUCAGUGGGAAGAGCUGCUUACCGUGUGGAACUACCACCUCGAUUGAAGAUUCAUCCGGUGUUCCACGUGAGCAAUCUCAAGCCCUACCAUGCCGACCCCGAGGAGCCAAGUCGUGGAGAGUCUCAACGAGCUCCACCUUUGAUGGUGACUUCAUUUGACAAGGAGGUUGAGUGCGUCAUGGCCAAGCGAGAGGUACGACGCAAGGGUAUACCGAGUUACUUUGAGUACUUUGUCAAAUGGAAGGGCCUGCCAGAGUCCGAAGGCAAUUGGGAGAAAGAAGAGUCCUUGUGGAAGUAUAAGGACAUCAUCGAAGCAUUCGAACGAGACGGAUCUACCACGGCAACGAGGACGUUACCGGAUUAGGUGGGGGAGAAUGUCACGGCCCGCAUGUUCAAGGCCCAACCCGUUGGAUUGAUCAUGCUAGACCUCUUGGCCCACAUGUCCAGAUUCGUUGUACAGUAGUAGGUAGACUACGGUUGGUGGCUGUAGUUGGUAGAUGCCGGUAGGUGACAUUGUAUCUUGGCCACCUACCAUGAUGGUAGGUGGGAUAGGGAAUGUAUAUAAGGAGGAUGUCACAUUGUGAAUCCUCACCUCACAACUUGUAAAGCAUUGAGUAGCAAUACAAGCAUAUAUUCUCCCAAACGUUCUUAAGCGUUCUUAUUGUGUUCUUGCUCUUGCGAUUGUUCUUUGCUUGUUUCGAUCUUGUAUUGUAGGAAGGAGGCUGACUUAGCUUGUUCGAGAGGCGAUCAAGUCUAAGGCCGCACGG
This 5466-nucleotide long non-coding RNA is filed under the name Prunus persica (peach). RNAcentral describes it as "long non-coding RNA (PPER_LNC002441)". Lineage: Eukaryota; Viridiplantae; Streptophyta; Magnoliopsida; Rosales; Rosaceae. The record is from RNAcentral.